Molecule: transfer RNA, 74 nt
Filed under: Fulvia fulva CBS 131901
Lineage: Eukaryota; Fungi; Ascomycota; Dothideomycetes; Mycosphaerellales; Mycosphaerellaceae
Description: tRNA-Ser (CGA) (tRNA-Ser-CGA-1-1)
Rfam family: tRNA
About the family: Transfer RNA (tRNA) molecules are approximately 80 nucleotides in length. Their secondary structure includes four short double-helical elements and three loops (D, anti-codon, and T loops).
Source: RNAcentral
GGGGUCGUGGUGUAGUUGGUAACACGCAUCAAUCGAAUUGAUGAGAUUGCGAGUUCGAAUCUCCGCCGAUUCCA